UGGGGAAUAUUGCACAAUGGGCGCAAGCCUGAUGCAGCCAUGCCGCGUGUGUGAAGAAGGCCUUCGGGUUGUAAAGCACUUUCAGCGGGGAGGAAGGCGUUAAGGUUAAUAACCUUGGCGAUUGACGUUACCCGCAGAAGAAGCACCGGCUAACUCCGUGCCAGCAGCCGCGGUAAUACGGAGGGUGCAAGCGUUAAUCGGAAUUACUGGGCGUAAAGCGCACGCAGGCGGUCUGUCAAGUCGGAUGUGAAAUCCCCGGGCUCAACCUGGGAACUGCAUUCGAAACUGGCAGGCUAGAGUCUUGUAGAGGGGGGUAGAAUUCCAGGUGUAGCGGUGAAAUGCGUAGAGAUCUGGAGGAAUACCGGUGGCGAAGGCGGCCCCCUGGACAAAGACUGACGCUCAGGUGUGAAAGCGUGGGGAGCAAACAGG
Molecule: ribosomal RNA, 429 nt
Filed under: Chloroflexota bacterium
Lineage: Bacteria; Bacillati; Chloroflexota
Description: Chloroflexi bacterium partial 16S ribosomal RNA
Rfam family: Bacterial small subunit ribosomal RNA
Source: RNAcentral